ACAAACGUCGAAUCGUGACGGUCUGCGCUCUCAGUUACUCGUACGAACCGGUCUCCCUGAUACAUGUGUUACACGCUAUCCCGCUAAUAAUAUUCUUGUGCAGUGUUUUAUAUUAACUUUUAAAGGAUUUUAACGUGAAUGUAGUGUUUCAUUCGAUUUUAAAACUUUUUUUUAGUGCGUGCGUUAAGUUAUUGUACUUUCGGGUGAAGUGUAAGUUUUAAAAAGUUUUUUUUGGUGGUCGUAUCAGCGUAAGUGACGUAAACUGUCUUAUCAAAGGGAAUUACCGUGAUUUAUGUGCCGCGUUGAACCAAUUGGAUUUGAUAACGCUUCUUUAUAGAAGUUUAGCAAGAUAAAGUUAAACUUUAAAAGUUUUUGCCUAUUUGCGCAAAUUCUCACGUCAGAACUAUCAGCUGGAGGUCAAAAAUACAGAGUUGACACCAUUCUACGGAUUAAACAUGUCAUAAGAUAAUAUAUGGCGAUUAGAGGAUGAGCCAUGGAAUCACGAAGUGCGCCGCCAAGCCCCGACGAAUCUGGGGAGGCGGUGUUCGACUCACGGUGUGGACGAUACCCUCACCAGCCUUCUCUACAGAGGGCCUUUGCAAGCUGUCGCGAGACCGGUCGACCUCGACCCCAUCAUCGUCAUGCAGCAUCCGAGCCAGCACGACCAGACGAUCGUGUUCUUACAACAGCCGAGGUACACGAUUAUCCCUCAUCAGAGUCAGGCAUCGCUGCCGAUUGCCCUCAUCCACAUUCGAGCAACGCCGACGAUAGUCCGUGUUACGAUCGAUCAGAUUACGAAGGAAAUUCUAAUUACAGUCUAAGGCACAACUUUCAUCACACGAUCGAUUGCAGUAAACAUAGAUCUGAAUUAAAUUGUAGUCAUACUCCAGAUUACAACCACGAUGAUUCUGAUUGUGAUAGAGGGCAUUCUCGUUCACAAACAUCACGUCGCCCACAUCGAAAACAUAGACGAGAGGAUGGAGAUGAGGCACAAUCACUUGAUGAACGUUGUGCCCGUGAUCUUGAUGAAAUAUUACCUGCAAGGCUUGCUGCAGUAAAUCUCUCGAGGGACCAGCCACCACAAUCAUGGAAUCGAAGUAAUAUUGCAGCUACAAUGGAGCGGUUUGAACCCGUCGAUUACUCCUAUGCUUAUUACGACCAUCAUUUAUCAAUGCCUUCUUCGUCAAGGAAAGCAAACCGUCUGCGCGGACGAGGUGGAGUCCCGCGGGACCGAUCUGCUCGACACAAUUUUGUAACGAGAUAUGGCACUGAAGAAAACAUUUACGAGGAAAUAACAGAUGGUUCUAGAACAUGCCCCAAACAUCGAUAUGGACCUCGGCAAUCUCUAGUUUCACUUGAUAGGAGCGUUGUUGAAGAAGAAGUGCGUAGAGUAGAGUCAAGACAUAAACGAAUUUUGGGAGAAUUGAAUCUUAGUGUAGAAGCGAUGUUAAUGCCAGAGUGUGAAUCACCUGACUCUGAAGUGGCUGAGGACCGUGAUAAUAUAGAAGAAUUAUUAAGAGUUGGUCCCACAGAUGAGUUAUUAUCUCCUGCUAGCUGUAAUCCUCCCGAUUUGGACAGUGGUUUUAGUGGAAGCAGUAGUGGAGCAAGCUAUGUUGGUAGCUUAAGAAGAAAACCUACAGGUUCAGUACCACAUCUACCUGCCGUAGCUUAUGGAACGCGAGGUGCUGGUGUGCGAAUUUUAGGUGCAGAUGAAUGUAAUUUGCGCUGUCCUCGAGAUGGUCCGUCGCCAAGAAGCUCUAGUUGUGGAGAUGCAAAAUCCAGUGGCUUUUGGAAUAAAAAAGCUUGGAGGAAAAUAUCUGGGUUUUCGAGCUCCAAUAGUAUAAACAAAGCUGGCUUAACAGGUCUGCUCGUUAGGUACACUUUCCGACGUAAGUCCGGCUCGCAAGGUACUCAGGGCAAGCGGCGUGCCGAGCCCGUCAAAUGCGAUGCGUGCCUCUCACAACGAUGUUAGCCGCUAUUAUGAUGAAGCAUGUAGGCCAAGCAGAGCUAAAUCCAGAACGGCUACUAUACCAUACAGUUACUCCAACGGAAAACUGGUGGUGCCGUUGGAUUCCCUAGCACAGAGCUGAGGGGCGGAACCCCCUUGCAAUUCCCGCCUCGAAUUCCUGCGAAGGACUUAUAAGUACUAAAGAGCAACAAUGAAAGCGAACAAGAAAGUUACUUGAAGUAUACAAGUAUUACAUGUAGUAUUACAUAACUCUAAAUUAACUACGGGCGAAGUGAGAAUUCACGAUUCUAUACCUUCGUUGUUUGAGGUUGUCAUGAUGAGCUUGUUUAACUUCCACCAGCACAUAUGGCAUCAGCACUCGUUAUUUUUCAAGAAUUCUAUCGUUCGUUAAAUCAAUUGCAUUUAAAACUUUAAAUAAAAUGGGUUGCUCUCCACAAGUUUCAAUUUCGGACGGGUUGACGAGUUGUUCAUUGCCAAGAGAAUAUUUAUAUCAACACCAACAUUCCAAAUGAUGUUGCGAUUAGUGGUACCUUUGGACCACGAUCUGCCAGUGAGUCUAUAAGACACGCUGCUUCGGCUUCACUUUAAUUUUUGUACUGUAAAAUUGUUGUAAAUAAAGCAAUCAAUGACUAAUAGAAAAAGAGGCGUAUACGUUAAAGUGAUAGAUGAGCCUAAUAAAUAUUUUGUAUUGUUAAGAUAACAGUUUCAUAGAAACAUACUACGUUGUUGUUACUUAUCAAUUUUUAGUAGAUAUUAGGUACCAAAAGGCUGACACGAUUUAAUCCGAUUUUAUACAUGUAUUAUAACCCAAUAGCAUUUUUUUCAACUCAUCAAUGCUCUUAAAAACAAUAAUUGUUAGUGUCAGUUUUAUAUUUAAUUUAUUUCAUUUUAGACACAGUUUUAGUUUUGUCGUUGUCAUUAUAAAUAUAUGUAUGUAAAUCAAGGUCCAAUAUUUUCUUUGUAUAAAUAUUUCUUUUUGUAAAAUGUUUUCUUAAUCGAGACCGUUAUUUUCGUGUAAUGACUGUUAAUAAUUGUUAGAAUGUAAUUGUAAAAUAUGUAAAUAAUAAUAAACAUGGUGCACUCAAUCACAUCAUAUUUACUUGUAUAUAAAACGUAAAAUACGAUGUGUCGCAAUUGUGUUAGAUAUUUAUAUGCGAAAUAUGUAGGUUACAGAUGCGUAUUAAGAAAAAAUUAAUAACUGCCAGCCUUGUAAUAGUUAUAUGGGUGUGACUAUAAUCAAAAUAAAACUAUCUAACUUGUCGGACAACAUUUUUAUAUAAUCGUUGAUAAACUUUUAGUGAAAUUUUCAAAAGAAUAAAUAAUUAUUGUUUAAGAAUAUUACAUACGUGUAAUUAUUUGUUUAAAUCUAUGUUAUAUUCUGUUCAAUGUCAAAGUUUUCUUCUUAACAAUUUAACCGUUAGGUAUAUUAAUAAUAUUCAGUCUUAAGCGAGUAUGUAAAAUAUUAUGAGACUAAUAUUGCAUGUACGGCGUAAUUCUAAACGGAUACCAUCCCAAAGAAGUUUCAUUUUCGUUUGGAAUCAUAGUCUAUCCUCAUAAAAAAGGAUUUUGUCUUAUUACGAGUUCACUUAAUUCGAUUUUUGAUGACAAACAUUUGUUUUUCAAAAAAAUCAUAACUCGAAAAAAUAUUAUAUUUUUUAAAUUUUUAAUUUUACAUUAAGAUGAAUAUAGGUUUUGCAAUAUACGAAAGUUUAAAAAUGUAAAUUUUUUAUCGACUGAAUAUUUAUUGAUUCAACUUUAAAAAUCCUAUGGUCCGUUAGCAAGUCACUUUCGAUUUAGAUAAUCGACUCACGUAAACGCCGUGUUACAAAAAGCCUAUAUCGAACCAACCCGGUCAUAAAUAUUAAUAUAAAUCUAAUUUGGAGGAAAAAAAAACAAUUUUGCAAUUAUUCGUUUUAAUAAAGAAAAUUAAAAAAAAAAACGAAUUGUAAUUUUUUUAUCAAAAGAAGCACUGACAAGUUAAAAUGAACUAACUUUAUUGAUUAUCUUUUUUACAUUUACUAAAAUUAAUGAUAUUUUAUCUUUAGACGCUUUAUUCUUACAAAACGAAUUUAAAACUGACAUCCAUUCAAAAUAUUAUAUACGGAAUUUUAUUUGUACAUUAAAGAAAUAGAGAAUUUCUCAGAAAGUAAAAAUGCACUGUUAUUGAAAAGAGAUAAAUAAAUGAUUCUUAAUCCAUCCUUGAAACUCGAAAGUACUCGUUGUUGUAUAAGAUAUUUUUGAGAAGUGUCUUGAGAUAGGACGUUAUUAAUCCAACUGGCAUAUAAUUUGCAAAUGUCAAUAAAAAAUAUAUAAAUGUGAAAGGCCAUUUUAUGAAAUAAGUGAUAAUACAAAAGUAUCGUCUAUCUUGAAGAUUGGUAUAAAUAAAAUAUAUAAAAUUAUAAAAUAAAAUGAAAUAAAAUACAGCGUCCAAAUAUCUUAAUAUUUGUAAUUUGUCACGGACCUUUUAAAUUACUGUAAAUAUUACUAUGUAUUAAAACACUGUUCUUAAUCAGCGAGGUAUUAUUUCAUAUGUUUGUCGUAAUCAACUCGACUGAUUUAUCUUAAAUAAUCAAUGUUACACUAUUUCUUUAACUGUCUGUAAUUUAGUGAUCGUGUUCAAGUCAAAAGAGAUUUUUAUUAAAUAAACUUUAAAAUGUCA
Molecule: RNA transcript, 4628 nt
Organism: Nymphalis io (European peacock)
Lineage: Eukaryota; Metazoa; Arthropoda; Insecta; Lepidoptera; Nymphalidae
Exons: 6
Source: RefSeq, a predicted model, not a curated record